RNAcentral lists this ribosomal RNA (586 nucleotides) under uncultured Desulfovibrio sp. Its description in RNAcentral is "bacterial SSU rRNA". It matches the Rfam family "Bacterial small subunit ribosomal RNA", at positions 42 to 608 of the family's 1533-position model. Lineage: Bacteria; Pseudomonadati; Thermodesulfobacteriota; Desulfovibrionia; Desulfovibrionales; Desulfovibrionaceae. The record is from RNAcentral.
GCGUGCUUAACACAUGCAAGUCGUCGCGAGAAAGGGGCUUCGGUCCUGAGUAGAGCGGCGCACGGGUGAGUAACGCGUGGGUGAUCUCCCUUGGUGAUCGGGAUAACAGCGGGAAACUGCUGCUAAUACCGGAUAAUCUUCAUGUUUGACUUCAUGGGGUAAAGGUGGCCUCUGCUUGCAAGCUACCACAUCAAGAUGAGCCCGCGUCUCAUUAGCUAGUUGGUAGGGUAAUGGCCUACCAAGGCUACGAUGAGUAGCUGGUCUGAGAGGAUGACCAGCCACACUGGGACUGGAACACGGCCCAGACUCCUACGGGAGGCAGCAGUGGGGAAUAUUGCGCAAUGGGCGAAAGCCUGACGCAGCGACGCCUCGUGAGGGAUGAAGGUCUUCGGAUCGUAAACCUCUGUCAAGAGGGAAGAAACCCUUGGAUUCGAAUAGGGUCCUUGGCUGACGGUACCUCAAAAGGAAGCACCGGCUAACUCCGUGCCAGCAGCCGCGGUAAUACGGAGGGUGCAAGCGUUAAUCGGAAUCACUGGGCGUAAAGCGCUCGUAGCGGUUUGGUCAGUCAGAUGUGAAAGCCCUCGGC